Molecule: long non-coding RNA, 530 nt
Organism: Medicago truncatula (barrel medic)
Lineage: Eukaryota; Viridiplantae; Streptophyta; Magnoliopsida; Fabales; Fabaceae
Exons: 3
Source: RefSeq, a predicted model, not a curated record
UAAAUCAUAAUUGUACAUCUUAAUUAAAGAAAAUCCGAGCUGCAUAUCAUACCUCAUUGGAACACAUGUUUUACUCCACACAGGUGAAGAAGCGCCCUGCAUAUCUCUUCCCUAAGUCUCCUUAGUCUCUUUUACACUUGAACACAACAGUUUCAUUCACCCAAGUUUCUAAAUUCUCAUAUUCUCCACUUUUGGCCACCAUCAUCUGAAGAGUGACCACAUAGGUUUUAGAUUGCAUCAUGUGCCAUGUUGCAAUGGAUGGGAGGAUCAAGGCUUAAAGCUACGGCAAACAUGAUGAAAGUGACAUUGCUGCUAUAGAACUCAAAGUGGAGCUAAUCUCAAGUGCAACUUAAUGUGUUUUUUCUAUUGUGAAAUUGCAUAUACAGAUGUAAAUGACACUGGUGUAGUAAUAUAGUAUUAGAAUUAUAUAUACAGAUGUAAAUGGCAGUGGUGUAGUAAAUAUAGUAUUAGAAUUUUGGAAAAGUUAAGAAAGAUACACAUUCUACAAUACCACAACAAUGAAUGAUUGU